GAUGAACGCUAGCUACAGGCUUAACACAUGCAAGUCGAGGGGAAACGAUAGAGAAAGCUUGCUUUUUCUAGGCGUCGACCGGCGCACGGGUGAGUAACGCGUAUCCAACCUGCCCAUCACUUGGGGAUAACCUUGCGAAAGUAAGACUAAUACCCACUGACGUCCAUAGAAGACAUCUGAAAGGGAUUAAAGAUUUAUCGGUGAUGGAUGGGGAUGCGUCUGAUUAGCUUGUUGGCGGGGUAACGGCCCACCAAGGCGACGAUCAGUAGGGGUUCUGAGAGGAAGGUCCCCCACAUUGGAACUGAGACACGGUCCAAACUCCUACGGGAGGCAGCAGUGAGGAAUAUUGGUCAAUGGGCGAGAGCCUGAACCAGCCAAGUAGCGUGCAGGAUGACGGCCCUAUGGGUUGUAAACUGCUUUUAUAAGGGAAUAAAGUGAGCCUCGUGAGGCUUUUUGCAUGUACCUUACGAAUAAGGACCGGCUAAUUCCGUGCCAGCCGCCGCGGUAA
This 508-nucleotide ribosomal RNA is filed under the name uncultured bacterium. Its description in RNAcentral is "partial 16S ribosomal RNA". It matches the Rfam family "Bacterial small subunit ribosomal RNA", at positions 28 to 523 of the family's 1533-position model. The record is from RNAcentral.